RNAcentral lists this long non-coding RNA (813 nucleotides) under Arabidopsis lyrata. Its description in RNAcentral is "long non-coding RNA (ALYR_LNC002914)". The record is from RNAcentral. Lineage: Eukaryota; Viridiplantae; Streptophyta; Magnoliopsida; Brassicales; Brassicaceae.
GGAAUUUAUAUAGGUAAUUACCAAUAUCAGAAGUUUCUAUAGAAACUAGCUAUUCAAAUCCAUAAAAGAAAUUCUAGUCUAUCAAAACUUCACAUAGUCUAAAAUGCUUUCCAUAAAAUUGCUAGUACAAUCUAUUCUCUACAAGUUAUGUAAUAAGCACCACAUAAUAAGCAUUGGCUGGUCAUGGGAUUUUUGGUGUCAAACCAAGCAUAGAUUUGCCGAUAAUGUAUUGAUAUUCUUUGAUGGAUCGGAAUCCUCUCUUUGUGGCAUCUUUCUGUUUUUGACGAUUUUUGAUUACCAACCUUCAAAUAAGUAAGGAGAAGUUAUAUUUGCAACAAAGAAAACAAGAAAUUUGCUACAAAUAUUUUAAAAGGACUAAAUAUCCAUGCAUUAUUUUAAUUAUCCUCAAACAUCAAUUUCUCAAAGACGAUUUACAUCAACACAAGAGGAAAAGUAUAUGAAAUCACGAAAUUUAGCGUUCAGAUCCUAAGUAUGAUUCAAAACGAUGGUGCUUCAUUGACAAGGAACAUGACAUAAAGAUGCUUCGAGAUAUAAUAAGUAUAUGAUUCCUUAUAAGAAAUAGAAAACACCAAACCUUUACUCGUCCUGAACAGAGUCUGAAUCCACCUCUCUGCUUCUUGCUUACGUUUGGAUGAGCUUUUUGAUCUUUCCUUUCUGCCGAUGACACAAUAUCCCAGCAUAGUCACAGAUUUUGAAAUUGGAUGAAAAACAAAUUCUAACUUGAAAAAAAUAAAAGGAAUAGAGAAAAUUUGUCGCAGGUUUCUGUGUUGUCUUUUUUUUUUUUGGUUUCUG